UACGUAGGGUGCGAGCGUUAAUCGGAAUUACUGGGCGUAAAGCGUGCGCAGGCGGUGAGUUAAGUCUGAUGUGAAAGCCCCGGGCUCAACCUGGGAAUGGCAUUGGAAACUGGCUCGCUGGAGUGUGGCAGAGGGGGGUGGAAUUCCGCGUGUAGCAGUGAAAUGCGUAGAGAUGCGGAGGAACACCGAUGGCGAAGGCAGCCCCCUGGGCCAACACUGACGCUCAGGCACGAAAGCGUGGGGAGCAAACAGGAUUAGAUACCCUGGUAGUCCACGCCCUAAACGAUGGCAACUGGGUGUUGGGGAAGCGAUUCCUUGGUACCGUAGCUAACGCGUGAAGUUGCCCGCCUGGGGAGUACGGCCGCAAGGUUA
Molecule: ribosomal RNA, 372 nt
Filed under: uncultured prokaryote
Description: bacterial SSU rRNA
Rfam family: Bacterial small subunit ribosomal RNA
Source: RNAcentral